This is a long non-coding RNA of Passer montanus (Eurasian tree sparrow), 383 nucleotides long. RefSeq lists it as uncharacterized. The record is from RefSeq and is a predicted model, not a curated record. NCBI's taxonomy places the organism in Eukaryota, Metazoa, Chordata, Aves, Passeriformes, Passeridae. The transcript has 3 exons.
GUGAAUGCCACAAACAAUCCCUUCCCAACUCCUUGUUCUUGCUUACAAUGCAGAUAGAUGGCAAAACGCCUCAUGCAGCUACACAGGGUGCCUGGGAGGAAAGGAAGAUAGGAUUUUAAAUCUGUUGGGAAGAUAUGAGAGUAAAUAACCUGUGCAGCCUCUGAUGUGCUUAAGGAAGGAAUUCAUCAACUGACAAGUUUGUACUUCAUUUUCCUUCAUCACCUAACAGCUUAGCAACAAGCAAUGACUGGCAAAUUUUGCUGCUCUUCAAAAUCAAUGCCACUUUUCUGGAUCAUUUCCUCAUCUUCACGAUCAUCUGUCAGAACAGUAAAUUGACAAUGUGUUGCCAAGGACAGUGUGGGGUCUGCUGCAAGCCUUGAUAA